GCCUUCGUAGUGUAAUGGUCAGCACACUCGGUGCGUAUUCGAGAGGUCCGAGGUUCGAGUCCCGGCAAGAGCA
RNAcentral lists this transfer RNA (73 nucleotides) under Stegodyphus mimosarum. It matches the Rfam family "tRNA". Rfam says of the family: Transfer RNA (tRNA) molecules are approximately 80 nucleotides in length. Lineage: Eukaryota; Metazoa; Arthropoda; Arachnida; Araneae; Eresidae. The record is from Rfam by way of RNAcentral.